GUUUCCAACAUUGAUUUGCAACGAUUAGCACUUUCUUAUGUUACUCAGUUCUGUUUUCUUAUAACUAGCUCCACUUCUUUUGGACAUAAGAAACCAAUUUAGAACAUUUUAGAAAAUGUAAAUGAAUAUGCAGCUUUGCAUAUAAUGAAACCCAUUUUGGGAUCAUGUUAAAAUAAUGAUGUUCUAAGUCACUAAACGUUCACCCCAACUGAACUUUUGUAGAAGAAAGAGUUGAAGGCAGGUGGGAAACAGAAAGAAAGGGGCUGCUAGAAAAAUCAGAAAUCGGAAGGAAGAUCUUUGUCACUGUUAUAAUUCACUGUCUGAUAUUUGUAUUGCAAUUCAUGUUGAACCUAGUUCUGGAAGGAACAGAGACAGAGUCUGAAGCACAGCCUAAAUCCCUAAUAAAAUUUAAACUCAUUUAGAUCACUAAUUUCCUAUUCAUUAUACGGAAGAGUGAAGUGGGGUUUAGACCUGAAAUGCUUCAGUGUGAGCUGUGAAGCCCCACAGCUUGGCUGGAUCAAUCUGGACUUCGGGCAGAUGCGUACUAAGGGCUGCUUACCUAGAGGAGCCACGUUUCUCCUGUAUAAAAGUCAAAAGUGUGUGUAUAACGGGAGAGAAGAGAGAAGAGAGGAGAAGAUGGAUUAAUAUUGAGCCUUUUAGUAGGGACCACUCCUCAUACAUUGUCUCAUCAAAUCAACUCUCCAAAGUAGUAUCUGUCCUGUUUUAUGGAAGGGACAACUCAAAAAUGUGGCAUUACCAGACAGUCAAGAUAACUGCCAGAGGAGCCACAUGCUGGGUAAAUCCUGAACCCAAAGUGGAAUUUUGCCCUAGUAUAAUGGGUUCAUAUUCUGUUGGCUGUACUUAGCUAUAAAUCCUGAGGAGGAGAAGAAGAAAGACAUCAGAAAGUAAUUGGGCUAGAAGAACCUUAGUUCGGAAGCAAAACACAGAAUCCAGAAACUAUGAAGAAAUUUACAUGCACACAUAUGUAUACAAGCCAUGAGAGGGAAAUGGGAAUGUACCUGAGAGUGUCGUCAAAGCGUACAGUGGCUGCACAGUGAAAUAUUAUGUUUGUACAGGACAGAAGCUCUUGCAUGUCCUCUUUGCUGAUGGCAAAGUCAUUCUGAUUGAGAUCUGCAUAAAUAGCUCUGAUCUUCUCAUGCACAUUUGGAUAAACUUCUUUGACUUUCUCAAAUAGCUGAAACAUAAAUAUAGAUCAAUAUACAAAAAAUAGCAUCAUCAUUAUCACAUUGUUCUUGUUUACAACAACCUGUUUAAUUAUGCUCAAAAACUGGUUUUAGUUGUAAUAACAUUACUUAAAGAAGACAUCUGGCAGGGCACGGUGGCAUAUGCCUGUAAUCUCAGCACUUUGGGAAGCCAAAGCAGGGAGAUCACUUGAGCCCAGGAGUUCGACACCAGCCUGGGCAAAAUGGUAAAAACCUGUCUCUACUAAAAAUACUAAAAGCCAGGCAUGGUGGUGUGUGCCUGUAGUCCCAACUACUUGGGAGGCUGAGAUGGGAGGAUCCCUUGAUUAAUAUUAGAAAAACUGUUAAAGAUCUUUCUGGAAACGUCAGAAUGACCUCUUUGUUGAGAAUGUGCCCAGGACACUUUAUCAACCUUAUCAAUCCCAGAUGUCAAAAGCAUUGAGGACUGACCUAACUUCCAAAUUAUUUUCAGAAUUGCAGUAACACACCACUGAAAAGGCUGCCCCUACAGUGCAGAAAAAUGGUAGAUAGAAUUGAAGUAUGUUACCUUGCCAGAUCAAUAUGUGGACUUCUUCCCUUUCCUAGUCAUCUUCAUUAAAUCUUCAGAAUGGCUUCUGAA
Symphalangus syndactylus (siamang) is the source of this 1821-nucleotide long non-coding RNA. RefSeq lists it as uncharacterized. The record is from RefSeq and is a predicted model, not a curated record. NCBI's taxonomy places the organism in Eukaryota, Metazoa, Chordata, Mammalia, Primates, Hylobatidae.